Molecule: ribosomal RNA, 511 nt
Filed under: uncultured bacterium
Lineage: Bacteria
Description: bacterial SSU rRNA
Rfam family: Bacterial small subunit ribosomal RNA
Source: RNAcentral
GACGAACGCUGGCGGCGCGCUUAAUACAUGCAAGUCGAGCGAGAACCAGUCCUUCGGGACUGGGGAAAGCGGCGAACGGGUGAGUAACACGUGGGUAAUCUGCCCUCGGCACUGGGAUAGCCCGGGGAAACCCGGAUUAAUACCGGAUAGCCUUUCGAGCCUUCGGGCUCGUCAGAAAAGGUGGCUUCGGCUUCCGGCUGAGGAUGAGCCCGCGGCGGAUUAGCUUGUUGGUGAGGUAAUGGCUCACCAAGGCUCCGAUCUGUAGCUGGUCUGAGAGGACGAUCAGCCACACUGGGACUGAGACACGGCCCAGACUCCUACGGGAGGCAGCAGUAGGGAAUCUUGCGCAAUGGGCGAAAGCCUGACGCAGCGACGCCGCGUGCGGGAAGAAGGCCUUCGGGUUGUAAACCGCUUUCAGGAGGGACGAAGCCACUCGGGUUAAUAGCCCAGAGGGUGACGGUACCUCCAGAAGAAGCCCCGGCUAACUACGUGCCAGCCGCCGCCGUAACAC